This 72-nucleotide transfer RNA is filed under the name Beta vulgaris subsp. vulgaris (sugar beet). It matches the Rfam family "tRNA". Rfam says of the family: Transfer RNA (tRNA) molecules are approximately 80 nucleotides in length. Lineage: Eukaryota; Viridiplantae; Streptophyta; Magnoliopsida; Caryophyllales; Amaranthaceae. The record is from Rfam by way of RNAcentral.
UCCUCAGUAGCUCAGUGGUAGAGCGGUCGGUUGUUAACUGAUUGGUCAUAGGUUCGAAUCCUACUUGGGGAG